AAAAAGCUCAUCCAGCCUUAAAGGAGGAGUCAUGACGCGUGCUGGACCCAGAAGACAGCAAGAGAUAGAGCAGCGCUCGUCUCCGGCUCCUCUUCCGGAUCCAUGAGAUCCCCGGGACCUGAGACGGCUAGCUGCCCCGGCAGCGGCUGGCCCAUAUCCGCGAGGCUCUGAAACCCAAUUUGCUUCGGCUUCCGAGAAGAGAGCGAGUCGCGAGCAGAGCUACCAGGCGUUACAAUGUGCAGCCUCUUGAGCCUCUUGCUCCAACCUAGACAGUUUACACAGAAAGUGUGCACUACUCCCCGUGAUGAAACGGGAGCAAGCCAUAACACACUUCCUGAAUUCUCCCACUCAUAUUUUUCUCUCUCACGCAUUCCUUUUUUUUCUUCUCUUUUUUUAAAGUGAUAGAAAAGUUCUGAGAUUUUGAGAAAAGAUAGAGAGGAAAUGAACAGUCUUUUGUUUCUAUACACAAACAUCCGACAUGCAGUCUGGCUGAAGAUAAUAAGGUUGACGGCGUGGUUCACACGUGCCAUAUUUAUGCCACAUGACGCACUUAAUUGCCACAUCACCUGUUCAUGGCAGGCCUAUAAUUAGAGGCAUGAUUUUACACAAGCUUCAGAUGCCGGUCGUGUGCGCAAGGGCGCUCCCAUACUGUUAUGCUAAACGUAACGUCGAGUUCCCUUUGAAAGGAAACAGGUAUGAACUGUCAGAAAUGGAGACAUAGCUAGCUUCACUAGUUGGAUAUAGCAUGAGAAUACUCACUCUCAAAGUUAUCAAUGUAACUCGAAAUAUAUAAUUUGAAACCCUUCUCCUUACUCUUGGGUGUAACAGCUGACUGCCUCGCAAUACAAUUAAUUCAUUCAUGGUAAUCUGGGGAAGCUCUUGUAAACAGCGAGUGUAAUAUGUCAUAUACUCCUACACCAUCUUCACACAGUUAUCUCCAAUAGAGAAAAUGGCUUCCAGCGCAGCACUGGAUGUAACUGAGCUGGCUGAGACAAAACGCAGAAGCAGUCGUGCAUCGAAUCCAUUCAGUACUCACACAAUGAGGUGGCUUUCUAUGUGCAUGCACAGAAAUCCCCCUGGUCAGGCAGGUAGACAUUCGUUAAUUUCUUGUUAUCAUAAUUUUAUGUUGUUAUUUAUUUUUUUUAUCUUUCUUUUCAUGUUACACAUGACACAGACUCGAGUACACUCUGAAAAAUGUCCAAAAUGUCAGAGUCCAUGUCAAGUUCGAGUACAAAUUUACCAGAGUGUGUGACAAUACAAAAUAGCCUUCUCUUAUCAUGUACAAAAGCACAUAAGCUGAAUGAGAAAACACAGUUACUCUUUGACAAUUUAAGUGUCUGGAAAUGGCAGACUUCAAUUAAAUUACAUGAACAAAUAAGUCAAAAUAUUUACAAAACCUCUUCUUGGACCACUCAACUUAUUAACGUCCAAGUUCUUUAUGACUUUGUAUGUUACUCCUUAAAUUUUGUGAAUCUUCUUAUGUCUUAUAUAUGUGUGUAUAGUGCAUGUUUUCGGCCUGCCAACUGCCCUUACUCCUCUUGACCAAUCAGAGAAUUUCUGUAUGCGAUCCAAUAAUGAUCUGCUCUCCUCCGCCUAAGUGUCGCACACAAGAACCUUGCGAAGUCAUCUUCUGUAAUCUUCUGUAAUGUGAUGUACAG
Molecule: long non-coding RNA, 1658 nt
Organism: Ictalurus punctatus (channel catfish)
Lineage: Eukaryota; Metazoa; Chordata; Actinopteri; Siluriformes; Ictaluridae
Source: Ensembl